RNAcentral lists this ribosomal RNA (171 nucleotides) under Pseudo-nitzschia pungens. RNAcentral's name for it is "5.8S ribosomal RNA". It matches the Rfam family "5.8S ribosomal RNA". From Rfam's summary of the family: 5.8S ribosomal RNA (5.8S rRNA) is a component of the large subunit of the eukaryotic ribosome. It is transcribed by RNA polymerase I as part of the 45S precursor that also contains 18S and 28S rRNA. The record is from RNAcentral. Lineage: Eukaryota; Bacillariophyta; Bacillariophyceae; Bacillariales; Bacillariaceae.
UAAUACAUUACAACUUUCAGCGGUGGAUGUCUAGGUUCCCACAACGAUGAAGAACGCAGCGAAAUGCGAUACGUAAUGCGAAUUGCAAGACCUCGUGAAUCAUCAGGAUUUUGAACGCACAUUGCGCUUUCGGGUAUUCCCGGUAGCAUGCUUGUCUGAGUGUCUGUGGAU